CAAUAGCGUAUAUUAAAGUUGUUGCAGUUAAAAAGCUCGUAGUUGGAUUUCUGGUGGGAGCGAUCGGUCUGGCGCUUAGCGCGAGUACUUGCAUCAUCUCCGGCCAUCCUUGGGGAGAGUCUGUCUGGCAUUAAGUUGUCGGGCAGAGGAUCCUCAUCGUUUACUGUGAAAAAAUUAGAGUGUUCAAAGCAGGCUUAUGCCGUUGAAUAUAUUAGCAUGGAAUAAUAAGAUAGGACUUUGGUACUAUUUUGUUGGUUUGCGCACCAAAGUAAUGAUUAAUAGGGACAGUUGGGGGUAUUCGUAUUCCGUUGUCAGAGGUGAAAUUCUUGGAUUUACGGAAGACGAACUACUGCGAAAGCAUUUACCAAGGAUGUUUUCAUUAA
Molecule: ribosomal RNA, 383 nt
Filed under: uncultured eukaryote
Lineage: Eukaryota
Description: partial 18S ribosomal RNA
Rfam family: Eukaryotic small subunit ribosomal RNA
Source: RNAcentral